This 200-nucleotide ribosomal RNA is filed under the name uncultured prokaryote. RNAcentral describes it as "partial 16S ribosomal RNA". It matches the Rfam family "Bacterial small subunit ribosomal RNA", at positions 1183 to 1382 of the family's 1533-position model. The record is from RNAcentral.
CGUCAAGUCCUCAUGGCCCUUAUAGGUGGGGCUACACACGUCAUACAAUGGCUGGUACAAAGGGUAGCCAACCCGCGAAGGGGAGCCAAUCCCGUAAAACCAGUCGUAGUCCGGAUCGCAGUCUGCAACUCGACUGCGUGAAGUCGGAAUCGCUAGUAAUCGUGGAUCAGCAUGUCACGGUGAAUACGUUCCCGGGUCUU